GAUGAACGCUGGCGGCGUGCCUAAUACAUGCAAGUCGAGCGAACAGACGAGGAGCUUGCUCCUCUUACGUUAGCGGCGAACGGGUGAGUAACACGUGGCGAACCGACCUAUAAGACUGGGAUAACUUCGGGAAACCGGAGCUAAUACCGGAUAAUAUAUUGAACCGCAUGGUUCAAUAGUGAAAGACGGCUUUGAUGUCACUUAUAGAUGGAUCUGCUCUGCAUUAGCUAGUUGGUAAGGUAACGGCUUACCAAGGCGACGAUGCGUAGCCGACCUGAGAGGGUGAUCGGCCACACUGGAACUGAGACACGGUCCAGACUCCUACGGGAGGCAGCAGUAGGGAAUCUUCCGCAAUGGGCGAAAGCCUGACGGAGCAACGCCGCGUGAGUGAUGAAGGUCUUCGGAUCGUAAAACUCUGUUAUUAGGGAAGAACAACUGUGUAAGUAACUAUGCACGUCUUGACGGUACCUAAUCAGAAAGCCACGGCUAACUACGUG
RNAcentral lists this ribosomal RNA (497 nucleotides) under uncultured bacterium. RNAcentral describes it as "partial 16S ribosomal RNA". It matches the Rfam family "Bacterial small subunit ribosomal RNA", at positions 28 to 507 of the family's 1533-position model. The record is from RNAcentral.